AUGUACCAAAAAAGAGAGUUUUCAGUGGAUAGAUGCUUGUUCCCAGUGCAGGAGGUUUUUGUACGGCCUCUUAAUGAGUUUGUAUCACUGUGGUACACUUUUGGUGGAGGAACCAAACUCACCGUUGACUUGGGUGUGGUGCGGCCCACCCUGAGCCUCCUCCCCCCCUCCAGAGAGGAGCUGCAGCAGGGCAGUGCCACACUGGUGUGUCUGGCCAGCGGGGGCUUCCCCUCAGCCUGGAGGCUGGGCUGGAAGGUGGGGGGCAGCAGCAGCUCCUCAGGGGUGUCCCACAGCCUGGAGGUCCUGGGGGGGGACGCCCACUACAGCUGGAGCAGCACCCUGAGCCUCCCUGCAGACCAGUGGAGGAAGGCGGGCUCAGUGAGCUGUGAGGCCAGUCUGAAUGGACAGAGCCCUGUCACUCAAAGCCUGGACCCUGACCACUGCUCAGAGUAGAGCUUCAGCAACACUUCCUGUCUGGAAAUGAUGCUGCUUCUUUGAUAGAGAUCUUGAUGAAGCUACACAUCUCCUCUGCUCACAUAUUUCUGCACGUUUCACAGCUCUCUACUCUGUGUUUUAGUGUGCAUGUUGCUUUCUUAUACUCAUCUUCUGCAUGUUCUUCUUUAUGUUCAUCACUUUUCAUGUUAAACUGAAUUUUAUUAGUUUCACUCCAAGAGAAAGUAUUCAUUCAUCAAAAAUGUGGAAUGAACAUUAAACCAUCAUUAAAUAAAACUGUGGAUUAUAAUGA
Molecule: non-coding RNA, 745 nt
Organism: Perca fluviatilis (European perch)
Lineage: Eukaryota; Metazoa; Chordata; Actinopteri; Perciformes; Percidae
Source: the annotation of a RefSeq genome assembly